AGUGAAGGCUCUGGGAUGCAGAACGGAGAAUGCUUUGCUUCUAGAGCAAGGAAAAAUACUUGUAUUGAGCAUCAUGAAGUUCGUGUUACUAACCUCACAGGCAAUCGACAGCCUGGGAGAUAGUCCCUAGGGCUUCAGAUCUUGUGUGGUGUUCAUCCCACCAUCUUCAGGCCCACAGUGUGUCAUUUUCCCACCUCUGCUUUGUUAGUUUUGUGUUUGACGAUGUCACAUUGGUAGCUUGAAAUCAGCAAUGAGGACAAUACGGAGUUACAUCAUGGAAACUGGAAAAUGUUACCAACUAGGGCUUUCUGUGAUUUGCUUACCAGCAUAUACCACUGGAAAUGGGUCAUCAGUUAGGCUUG
Long non-coding RNA from Gorilla gorilla gorilla (western lowland gorilla), 362 nucleotides. RefSeq lists it as uncharacterized. The transcript has 3 exons. Lineage: Eukaryota; Metazoa; Chordata; Mammalia; Primates; Hominidae. The record is from RefSeq and is a predicted model, not a curated record.